UGCCAGCAGCCGCGGUAAUACGGAGGGUGCAAGCGUUAUUCGGAAUUAUUGGGCGUAAAGCGCACGUAGGCGGUUUAGUUAGUCAGAUGUGAAAGCCCGGGGCUCAACCCCGGACGUGCAUUUGAAACAGUAAGACUUGAGUACGGGAGAGGAAAGCGGAAUUCCUGGUGUAGAGGUGAAAUUCGUAGAUAUCAGGAGGAACACCGAUGGCGAAGGCAUCUCUCUGGGCCGAUAUUGACGCUGAGGCGCGAAGGCGUGGGGAGCAAACAGGAUUAGAUA
This 279-nucleotide ribosomal RNA is filed under the name uncultured bacterium. RNAcentral describes it as "partial 16S ribosomal RNA". It matches the Rfam family "Bacterial small subunit ribosomal RNA", at positions 506 to 784 of the family's 1533-position model. The record is from RNAcentral.